GAUGAACGCUAGCGGGAGGCUUAAUACAUGCAAGUCGAGGGGCAGCAUGAGGCUUCGGCCUUGAUGGCGACCGGCGCACGGGUGAGUAACGCGUACACGAUCUACCUUUAAGUGGGGGAUAGCCUUGGGAAACUGAGAUUAAUACCCCAUGUGAUUGUACUUAUUAGAAGGAUACAAUUAAAACUCCGGUGCUUAAAGAUGAGUGUGCGUCCCAUUAGCUAGUUGGUAAGGUAACGGCUUACCAAGGCAACGAUGGGUAGGGGGCGUGAGAGCGUGACCCCCCACACGGGUACUGAGACACGGACCCGACUCCUACGGGAGGCAGCAGUAAGGAAUAUUGGACAAUGGGCGCAAGCCUGAUCCAGCCAUCCCGCGUGCAGGAUGACAGCCCUACGGGUUUUAAACUGCUUUUAUUUGGGACGAAUCGAUUGGAUUUAUCCAAUUUUGACGGUACCAAAGGAAUAAGCACCGGCUAACUCCG
This 481-nucleotide ribosomal RNA is filed under the name uncultured Saprospiraceae bacterium. Its description in RNAcentral is "bacterial SSU rRNA". It matches the Rfam family "Bacterial small subunit ribosomal RNA", at positions 28 to 505 of the family's 1533-position model. Lineage: Bacteria; Pseudomonadati; Bacteroidota; Saprospiria; Saprospirales; Saprospiraceae. The record is from RNAcentral.